GACCGCUCCGGUGGCCUAAUGGUUAGAGUUUCCGCAUCGAAUGCGGGAGGUUGUGGGUUCUAUCCACAGCCGAGUCU
This is a non-coding RNA of Potamilus streckersoni, 77 nucleotides long. NCBI's taxonomy places the organism in Eukaryota, Metazoa, Mollusca, Bivalvia, Unionida, Unionidae. The record is from the annotation of a GenBank genome assembly.